UUCCGGUUGAUCCUGCCGGAGGUUACCGCUCUGGGAGUCGGACUAAGCCAUGCUAGCGGAGGGCAGUUUGGCUGCCCCGCGAAUAGCUCAGUAACACGUGGUCAAUCUACCCUUGGGACUGGGAUAACCCCGGGAAACUGGGGAUAAUCCCAGAUAGGCGGGAGUUCUGGAAUGUCUCUCGCUGAAAAGUUCUGGCGCCCAAGGACGAGACUGCGGCCGAUUAGGUAGUUGGUGUGAUAAAGGCUCACCAAGCCGAAGAUGGGUACGGGCCCUGAGAGGGGGGGCCCGGAGAUGGGAACUGAGACAAGGUCCCAGGCCCUACGGGGCGCAGCAGGUGCGAAAAUUCCGCAAUGCGUAAACGCGCGACGGAGUGACUCCCAGUGCCGAUGGUCUACCGACCGUCGGCUUUUCCAGAACGUAAAAAGUUCCGGGUAAUAAGGGCCGGGUAAGACUGGUGCCAGCCGCCGCGGUAACACCAGCGGCCCAAGUGGUAACCGCUUUUAUUGGGCCUAAAGCGUCCGUAGCCGGACUGGCAAGUCCUCUGUGAAAUCGGGCGGCUUAACCGCUCGGCUUGCAGGGGAAACUGUUAGUCUUGGGGCUGGCAAGCGCCGAGGGUACUCCAGGGGUAGCGGUGAAAUGCUAUAAUCCCUGGGGGACCGCCGGUGGCGAAAGCGCUCGGCGGGGCCAGACCCGACGGUGAGGGACGAAGGCCAGGGGAGCGAACCGGAUUAGAUACCCGGGUAGUCCUGGCUGCAAAGGAUGUGGGCUAGGUGCCGGAAGUUCCUCGAGAGCUUUCGGUGCCGAAGGAAAGCCGUUAAGCUCACCGCCCGGGGAGUACGGCCGCAAGGCUGAAACUUAAAGGAAUUGGCGGGGGAGCACCACAAGGGGUGGAGCCUGCGGUUUAAUUGGAUUCAACGCCGGA
This 922-nucleotide ribosomal RNA is filed under the name uncultured archaeon. RNAcentral describes it as "bacterial SSU rRNA". It matches the Rfam family "Archaeal small subunit ribosomal RNA", at positions 1 to 922 of the family's 1478-position model. The record is from RNAcentral.